Molecule: non-coding RNA, 76 nt
Organism: Podarcis lilfordi (Lilford's wall lizard)
Lineage: Eukaryota; Metazoa; Chordata; Lepidosauria; Squamata; Lacertidae
Source: the annotation of a GenBank genome assembly
UUGCUUUAUAGCUUAGCCGGUAGAGCAUGAGACUCUUAAUCUCAGGGUUGUAUGUUCAAGCCUCUUGUUGGACAAA